AUCACCUGGGGACCUUGAUAAACUGUAGAUUCAGAUUCAGUGGGUCUGGGACCAGGCCUGAGAUUCUGCAUUUCUAACAAGCUCUCAGGUGAGGCUGA
Molecule: microRNA precursor, 98 nt
Organism: Pan troglodytes (chimpanzee)
Lineage: Eukaryota; Metazoa; Chordata; Mammalia; Primates; Hominidae
Rfam family: mir-544 microRNA precursor family
Source: Rfam